Molecule: ribosomal RNA, 368 nt
Filed under: uncultured Sphingobacteriales bacterium
Lineage: Bacteria; Pseudomonadati; Bacteroidota; Sphingobacteriia; Sphingobacteriales
Description: bacterial SSU rRNA
Rfam family: Bacterial small subunit ribosomal RNA
Source: RNAcentral
GGUUUUCUUCGGACACUCUUCAAGGUGCUGCAUGGUUGUCGUCAGCUCGUGCCGUGAGGUGUCGGUUAAGUCCCAUACGAAGCGCAACCCUUACCGUUAGUUACCAUCAGGUUAAGCUGGGGACUCUAGCGGGACUGCCACCGUAAGGUGAGAGGAAGGUGGGGAUGACGUCAAAUCAGCACGGCCCUUAUGUCCAGGGCUACACACGUGUUACAAUGGCCAGUACAAAGGGCAGCUACCGGGUGACCGGAUGCUAAUCUCUAAAGCUGGUCUCAGUUCGGAUCGAAGUCUGCAACCCGACUUCGUGAAGCUGGAUUCGCUAGUAAUCGCGCAUCAGCCAUGGCGCGGUGAAUACGUUCCCGGGCCUU